Molecule: long non-coding RNA, 490 nt
Filed under: Mytilus galloprovincialis (Mediterranean mussel)
Lineage: Eukaryota; Metazoa; Mollusca; Bivalvia; Mytilida; Mytilidae
Source: RNAcentral
GUGCAUAAAGAGUGGGACAUUGGAAAUUUACUUUUUUUAUUUCACAUGGGACACUUAAGUCUUGUAUUCAUGAAUGUUUACAACUUGUUGGGACUAGAAAACAUUGAUAAUUACAAAGAACAAUAAGAAUGGUAUGUACUGCGCUGUUUCUAGUGUUGCAGUUAAUUGAAUGUGUGGAAUUUGUAUUCAAAUUAUUACUGUUAUUAAUCUUGUAUUUAUGCAGACAUUCUCAGCUUAGUGGUUCCAUUCCAAAUCUCGGGAUUAAUGCAGUCUUUUGUAAAGGUUACAGAGACAAAUACAGAAAAUAAGGGCGUAAUUCAUGUAAAGGUUAAAAAAAAACGUUGAGAAUAGCAAAACAAUUUUUUUGAAGAUUAAUCCUAAAAAAUGAUACUUCUAUUUACCGGUUUACUAUCCUAAAGGAGAGGAGGGGGAUUUCAGAAGGAUAAGAAGUGUGCUUCAGCUGAAUCCCCCUCCCAAACACACACACACA